GUCGAGGGGCAGCACAAGUGUAGCAAUACUCUGGGUGGCGACCGGCGCACGGGCGAUUAUCGCGUAUGCAACCUACCUUCCACAGGGGGAUAGCCUUCCGUAAGGGAGAUUAAUACCGCAUGAAACAGGGGCCCCACGCAUGGGGAUAUUUGUUAAAGAUUUAUCGGUGGAAGAUGGGCAUGCGUUCCAUUAGCUAGUUGGGGGGGUAACGGCCCACCAAGGCAACGAUGGAUAGGGGAACUGAGAGGUUUAUCCCCCACACUGGGACUGAGACACGGCCCAGACUCCUACGGGAGGCAGCAGUGAGGAAUAUUGGUCAAUGGGCGGGAGCCUGAACCAGCCAAGUCGCGUGGAGGACGACGGUUCUAUGGAUUGUAAACUCCUUUUGCACUGGGGUAAAACGCGGGACGUGUCCCGCCUUGCAAGUACAGUGCGAAUAAGCAUCGGCUAACUCCGUGCCAGCAGCCGCGGUAAUACGGAGGAUGCGAGCGUUAUCCGGAUUUAUUGGGUUUAAAGGGUGCGUAGGCGGCCCCUUAAGUCAGCGGUAAAAUUUCUGCGCUCAACGCAGUCGUGCCGUUGAAACUGGGGGGCUUGAGUCUAGAUGAAGUGGGCGGAAUUUGUAGUGUAGCGGUGAAAUGCAUAGAUAUGUCUUAGAACUCCGAUUGCGAAAGCAGCUCACACUAAGCUGGUAUUGACGCUGAUGCACGAAAGCGUGGGGAUCGAACAGGAUUAGAUACCCCUGGUAGUCCCCGCCCUAAACGAUGAUAACUCGAUGUUGGCGAUAGACAGCCAGCGGCCCCACCAAAAGCGUUAAAUGAUCCACCUGGGGAGGUCCCCCGGCACGGUGAAAC
Molecule: ribosomal RNA, 851 nt
Filed under: uncultured bacterium
Lineage: Bacteria
Description: bacterial SSU rRNA
Rfam family: Bacterial small subunit ribosomal RNA
Source: RNAcentral